CUACGGGAGGCAGCAGUGGGGAAUAUUGCACAAUGGGGGGAACCCUGAUGCAGCAACGCCGCGUGGAGGAUGACGCAUUUCGGUGUGUAAACUCCUUUUAUAUGUCAAGAAAAUGACGGUAGUAUAUGAAUAAGCACCGGCUAACUCCGUGCCAGCAGCCGCGGUAAUACGGAGGGUGCAAGCGUUACUCGGAAUCACUGGGCGUAAAGGACGCGUAGGCGGGUUGGAAAGUCAGGUGUGAAAUCCUACAGCUUAACUGUAGAACUGCACUUGAAACUUCUAAUCUAGAGUAUGGGAGGGGGAGAUGGAAUUAGUGGUGUAGGGGUAAAAUCCGUAGAUAUCACUAGGAAUACCUAAAGCGAAGGCGAUCUCCUGGAACAUUACUGACGCUAAGGCGUGAAAGCGUGGGGAGCAAACAGGAUUAGAUACCCGUGUAGUC
This 439-nucleotide ribosomal RNA is filed under the name uncultured bacterium. Its description in RNAcentral is "partial 16S ribosomal RNA". It matches the Rfam family "Bacterial small subunit ribosomal RNA", at positions 339 to 795 of the family's 1533-position model. The record is from RNAcentral.